RNAcentral lists this ribosomal RNA (433 nucleotides) under uncultured bacterium. RNAcentral's name for it is "partial 16S ribosomal RNA". It matches the Rfam family "Bacterial small subunit ribosomal RNA", at positions 29 to 507 of the family's 1533-position model. The record is from RNAcentral.
AACGAACGCUGGCGGCAUGCCUAACACAUGCGAGUCGAACGAGACCUUCGGGUCUAGUGGCGCACGGGUGCGUAACGCGUGGGAACCUGCACUUAGGUUCGGAAUAACUCCCCGAAAGGGGUGCUAAUACCGGAUAAUGUCUUCGGACCAAAGAUUUAUCGCCUUUGGAUGGGCCCGCGUUGGAUUAGCUAGUUGGUAGGGUAAAAGCCUACCAAGGCGACGAUCCAUAGCUGGUCUGAGAGGAUGAUCAGCCACACUGGGACUGAGACACGGCCCAGACUCCUACGGGAGGCAGCAGUGGGGAAUAUUGGACAAUGGGCGAAAGCCUGAUCCAGCAAUGCCGCGUGAGUGAUGAAGGCCUUAGGGUUGUAAAGCUCUUUUACCCGGGAUGAUAAUGACAGUACCGGGAGAAUAAGCUCCGGCUAACUCCGUG